This 253-nucleotide ribosomal RNA is filed under the name uncultured bacterium. RNAcentral describes it as "partial 16S ribosomal RNA". It matches the Rfam family "Bacterial small subunit ribosomal RNA", at positions 524 to 776 of the family's 1533-position model. The record is from RNAcentral.
UACGGAGGAGGAAAGCGUUAUCCGGAAUUAUUGGGCGUAAAGCGACCGUAGGUGGUUCACCAAGUCUGCUGUCAAAGGGUGGGGCUUAACCUCAUAAAGGCAGUGGAAACUGGUGAGCUAGAGUGCGGUAGGGGUAAGGGGAAUUCCCAGUGUAGCGGUGAAAUGCGUAGAGAUUGGGAAGAACAUCGGUGGCGAAAGCGCCUUACUGGGCCUGCACUGACACUGAGGGACGAAAGCUAGGGGAGCGAAAGGG